UACGGAGGGUGCAAGCGUUGUCCGGAUUUAUUGGGUUUAAAGGGUGCGUAGGCGGCUCUUUAAGUCAGUGGUGAAAGUCUACGGCUUAACCGUAGGAUUGCCAUUGAUACUGAAGAGCUUGAGUAUAGUUGAGGUAGGCGGAAUUGACGGUGUAGCGGUGAAAUGCAUAGAUAUCGUCAAGAACACCGAUUGCGUAGGCAGCUUACUAAGCUAUAACUGACGCUGAGGCACGAAAGUGUGGGGAUCAAACAGG
This 253-nucleotide ribosomal RNA is filed under the name uncultured bacterium. Its description in RNAcentral is "partial 16S ribosomal RNA". It matches the Rfam family "Bacterial small subunit ribosomal RNA", at positions 524 to 776 of the family's 1533-position model. The record is from RNAcentral.